RNAcentral lists this transfer RNA (43 nucleotides) under Canis lupus (wolf). Its description in RNAcentral is "partial tRNA-Arg". Lineage: Eukaryota; Metazoa; Chordata; Mammalia; Carnivora; Canidae. The record is from RNAcentral.
AUGAUAAUUAGUUUAAGCCAAAAANCAAAUGAUUUCGACUCAU